This 73-nucleotide transfer RNA is filed under the name Cordylochernes scorpioides. RNAcentral describes it as "tRNA-Thr". It matches the Rfam family "tRNA". From Rfam's summary of the family: Transfer RNA (tRNA) molecules are approximately 80 nucleotides in length. Their secondary structure includes four short double-helical elements and three loops (D, anti-codon, and T loops). Lineage: Eukaryota; Metazoa; Arthropoda; Arachnida; Pseudoscorpiones; Chernetidae. The record is from RNAcentral.
UCCAGGAAAGCCUAGUGGACAUGGCACCUGCCCGGUAAGCAGAAGGUUGUGGGUACGAUUCCCGCUCCUGGAC